GCUUCCUGCCAUGAUGAUAAUGGACUAAAUCUCUGAACUGUAAGCCCAUCCCAGUUAAAUAUUUACCCUUAUAAGAACUGUUGUGGUCAUGAUGCCUCUCCAGGAAUAGAAACCCCAGCCUCGCCUGAAUGAUGCCUGGAAACUGAAAUGAUGCUUCUCCCCGUGCUGUCAAGUGACAAAGGAUAGAGAAACCAGCCUGCAGGGAUCACGCCUGCAAAAGCAGUUCCAACUCUCUUUCUGCAGUUGUUACGCGCAGGCAAGAGCCAUCUUCCCCAGGUGUCAAUGCCUGGAGACAGGAAACCUCACAAAUUCAGAGCUGGCGGAGUCUUCGCUUGGUUUGACUCUGUCCCUGAACCACCUCCCCCUUUAGCACUCUCUCCCACCUAUCCCCAUUAUUACUGGAGGUCAACAACCUUAUACCCCUGGGUCUAGCUUGUUUCUAUGUAGCUGUGAUAAUACCAUUAGCAAAAAGAACAGUUUAUCACAUCUUACAGGACACAGUCGAUUAUGGAGGGAAGCAAGGGCGGAUCUGCUAGGUGGGAAUGUAGAGGAGGGAACUGAAGAAAAAGCAAAGGCAUAAUGUGGCUUACUGGCUUGCUGCCUUGGGCUUGCUCAGCCACCUUCUUAAGUAACUCAAGACCACCUGUCCAGGGAUGGUACUACUUACAGUGGGCUGGGCCCACAUACAUCAGUUAACCAUUAAGACACACCUACAGGCUGAUCUGACAGAAGCAAUUCCUAAAUGGAGGUUCCCUUUUCCCAGGUAUGCCAGGUUGACAAUUGAGGUCAAUCCCUUAAAGGUGGGAUGACUUUAAAUACUGUAUAUGACACUCAGGUCAUAGAGUUGGCAUUAGGUUCAAAAGACAUGGUCACUGUCUCCAAGGGCCUUGUAAGGCCUGAUUCCCAGCAGACAUUUCUUGGGGGAAGAAAGUCAGUCUGACGGUUUCCUCUGAGUCUUCAUCUCAGUUGCACCCAUUAGGAGCCUGCAGGAGUUUUAGAGAGCUGGGAUACCUUGAUGAAGAACCAUAGUUUAACCUUUAUGACUGACAUCCUAGCCCUGACAGGUGGAUCUGGGAAAUCGUCUAGAAUAUAAAAAAGACUGUAUGAGGCAUGCCAUUGAAGGUGAUUCCUAAGGUCCUCCUCCGUGGGAGGGUGACCGCCCUUCUGACUUCCUAGCACUAUUGUGAGACACAAAUGUGGCCCGUGGAAAAUCCUGUGUAAAUGAGGGUUGCUCCUAAACCAGGAACCAGGCUCUCUGGAGGACUUCAUCAACCCUGAUGGAUGAGCAAAGAAACAGAAGAACGCAUGAAUGGGAGAGUAUGGGAAUAGAUGGAAUCUCUCUCUUCAACCUUCACGGGGUUACAUUUAUAUAAUAACUUACUUCUUAUAGGUAGGGCUGGAAAGCCUACAUUUUAAUGGAUUUCCUACUUCAUUUUAACCUUCGCAUCCCUUAUACGGUAUGCUUUGUAAAAGGUUUUUGUAGCGCAGAUCCGGACCUUUCAGCAGUAACACAGUUAGAUUUCAAGUCUGAGAGCUUGAACUCAGGCCUUCAGCUAUACCUGGCAGCAUCAUCGUUCCUAUCCAGUUUAUUUGCUUCCUAGUGAGUGUUCAGGUCUCAGUCUGAGCAUCAUCUCCUCGCUGCCAGCUUCACUGCCCUGCCCUGCCCUGCCACACCACGCCCCACACUUCUUCAUUCUUCCCCAUUUGCAGGUUUUAUUUUCUGCAUCUCAUUUAGCAUUACCACGGUUUGACAUGACCUGAUUUAGCACUGCCAUGUUUGUGCCUGUAAAAACUGUUCUGUAGG
Molecule: non-coding RNA, 1804 nt
Organism: Myodes glareolus (Bank vole)
Lineage: Eukaryota; Metazoa; Chordata; Mammalia; Rodentia; Cricetidae
Source: RefSeq, a predicted model, not a curated record